GACGAACGCUGGCGGCGUGCUUAACACAUGCAAGUCGAACGGAAAGGCCCUGCUUUUGUGGGGUGCUCGAGUGGCGAACGGGUGAGUAACACGUGAGUAACCUGCCCUUGACUUUGGGAUAACUUCAGGAAACUGGGGCUAAUACCGGAUAGGAGCUCCUGCUGCAUGGUGGGGGUUGGAAAGUUUCGGCGGUUGGGGAUGGACUCGCGGCUUAUCAGCUUGUUGGUGGGGUAGUGGCUUACCAAGGCUUUGACGGGUAGCCGGCCUGGGAGGGUGACCGGCCCCCUUGCGCCUGCGAGACGCACCAGAUUCCAAUGUGCCGCAGUAGUCGGGAAUAUGGCGCAAUGGGCGGAAGCCGGAGGCAGCAACGCCGCGUGUGUGAUGUCCGCCUGUUGGUUGUAAACCGCGUUCGGCUGGGACGAAGAUCUAGUGACGGUAAUGGGUAAAGAAGCACCGGCUAACUACGUG
This 468-nucleotide ribosomal RNA is filed under the name uncultured bacterium. RNAcentral's name for it is "partial 16S ribosomal RNA". It matches the Rfam family "Bacterial small subunit ribosomal RNA", at positions 28 to 507 of the family's 1533-position model. The record is from RNAcentral.